RNAcentral lists this ribosomal RNA (510 nucleotides) under uncultured bacterium. RNAcentral's name for it is "partial 16S ribosomal RNA". It matches the Rfam family "Bacterial small subunit ribosomal RNA", at positions 29 to 523 of the family's 1533-position model. The record is from RNAcentral.
AACGAACGUUAGCGGCGCGCCUAACACAUGCAAGUCGAACGCGACAGGGGCAACUCUGUUGAGUGGCGCACGGGUGAGUAACACGUAGGUAAUCUCCCCCCGAGUGGUGGAUAACCUUCCGAAAGGAGGGCUAAUACAGCAUAAGACCACGGCUUCGAAAGGAGCUGAGGUCAAAGCGGAGGAUCGCAAGACUUCGCGCUUGGGGAUGAGCCUGCGGCCCAUCAGGUAGUUGGCGGGGUAACAGCCCACCAAGCCUAAGACGGGUAGCUGGUCUGAGAGGAUGAGCAGCCACACUGGAACUGAGACACGGUCCAGACUCCUACGGGAGGCAGCAGUGGGGAAUCUUGCGCAAUGGACGAAAGUCUGAUGCAGCGACGCCGCGUGGGUGAUGAAGGCCUUCGGGUUGUAAAGCCCUGUGGGGAGGGACGAAUAAGUUUCAGCUAAUACCUGAAGCGAUGACGGUACCUCCUUAGCAAGCACCGGCUAACUCUGUGCCAGCCGCCGCGGUAA